This 1862-nucleotide long non-coding RNA is filed under the name Mus musculus (house mouse). Its description in RNAcentral is "predicted gene, 42047". The record is from RNAcentral. Lineage: Eukaryota; Metazoa; Chordata; Mammalia; Rodentia; Muridae.
GUGGGGGUUUCCCCACUGAGUUCUUUCAUUUGGAGGUCCCACCGAGAUCUGCGUGACACCCAGGAACCCCGAAGGACCCCUUGGAGGUGCGUUUGUUUGUGUGAGUCUUGUUAUGUUGUCUGUUGUCUAAGUGUCUAAGUGUGGCACUGCUGAAUUUGUGUCUUAGUUUUUCAGUUCUGAGAUUGUGGGUUUGAGCCCCACCUGUGUUACCAGUUCUGGUAUUCUGUAUUCUGGCAGCUGCCACUGCGGACCGUAAGGACCCUAGUGGCUGUGGGAAGACGACGGUCUAUUUCCCCACAGGCUGCACCCUUGGAAGACAUUCCGAGGGAGACCCUGGAGUGCCCAGGGUACGGAACAGUCAGGAGGACCUGGCUGUUGUCUGGCAGAGUGAAGAAGAGUGAGUGCUCUUCCUGCCAGAGGAGUGGAGCGGAAUCCCACUCCAUCAGAGGUAGCGUUUGGCUGGUUGUGUAAGUCCAGACGCAGACGAGUGUGCUUGGAUGUCUUAGUGUUUUCCGUCUCUGUCAUUGUGUUGUGUUUACUCUUAUUCUUCACUAUGGGACAGACCGUGUCUACUCCUUUAUCUUUGACUAAGGACCAUUGGACGGACGUUAGGGCUAGAGGACAAAAUUUGUCAGUAAAAGUGAAGAAAAAGCCAUGGAUGACUUUCUGUUCCUCAGAAUGGCCUGUUUUUGGAGUAGGUUGGCCAGCAGAAGGAACUUUUUACUUACCCACCAUAAGGGCUGUGAAGGCCAUUGUUUUUCAGGAAGGACCAGGGUCGCAUCCAGACCAACAACCGUACAUCAUGGUAUGGGAGGACUUGGCACGCUACCCACCCCCGUGGGUUCGCCCAUUCCUCCCGCCUCUCCGCCCUGGCACCAAGAUUCUAGCCAUCCAAGAAAAUGGUGAGAAAGAGAAACCGAAACCACCGCUCGGGAGAGAUGAUGAUCGCAGCACACCAGUGACGAAACCCCCCAAGAUCUAUUCAGAGAUUGAAGAACCCCCUGAGUGGCCCGAUACCCCUCAACCCCCACCUUAUGCUCCCCAGCCCCAACCUUCAGCUCCCUCGGGACCCCUGCCUCAGGCCCCGGCCGGAGGAGGGGGUCCCUCCACAGGAACAAGGAGCCGGCGAGGAGUCACCCCUGAGGGGCCUGCGGAUUCAACUGUGGCGCUCCCCCUCAGGGCUAUUGGGGCUCCCCCUGCCGAUCCAAAUAGUCUACAGCCCCUACAGUAUUGGCCUUUUUCCUCUUCUGACCUUUACAACUGGAAAGCUCAUCACCCCCCUUUUUCAGAAAACCCUGCAGGACUCACUGGGUUGGUUGAAUCAUUAAUGUAUUCACACCAGCCGACCUGGGAUGACUGCCAGCAGCUUCUGCAGACUCUAUUCACAACCGAGGAGAGAGAGAGGAUUCUCCUCGAGGCUCGGAAAAAUGUCCGAGACGAGGCUGGGCGCCCUGUCCAAACUCCAGCUGAGAUAGAUGAAGGAUUUCCGCUAACCCGGCCCCGAUGGGAUUAUAAUACGGCAUCAGGUAGGGAACGACUGUCCAAUUAUCGCCGGGUCCUAGUGGCGGGUCUCAGAGGUGCUGCCCGGCAGCCCACGAAUCUGGCCAAGGUAAGAGAGGUUAUGCAGGGAGCGACUGAGCCCCCCUCAGUCUUCCUUGAAAGGCUCAUGGAGGCUUAUAGGAGAUAUACCCCAUUCGACCCCACGUCUGAGGGUCAAAGGGCCUCAGUAAUUAUGGCCUUCAUUGGCCAGUCAGCUCCUGACAUUAGGAAGAAGUUACAGCGAAUUGAGGGCUUGCAGGAUUACACCAUAAGGGAUGUAGUUAGAGAGGCAGAGAAAGUGUAUCAUAGGAGAGAAACAGAAG